Molecule: long non-coding RNA, 564 nt
Organism: Magnolia sinica
Lineage: Eukaryota; Viridiplantae; Streptophyta; Magnoliopsida; Magnoliales; Magnoliaceae
Exons: 2
Source: RefSeq, a predicted model, not a curated record
UCUCCAUUCAAUAAAUGGUUGUCAUGGCUUUUCGUGGAAUGCAUGUGUCAUAUCAUUAUUAAGGAUUGUCCUACCUAUUUGGCGUUGGCUAUUGAAUGCGUCUGUUUCUUUGUGCUUGUGGUGGUGAGCAUCUUCUUUGUUGCAUCUCAUAUAUGACGAGUGAACUGUGACAUUCUGUUUGAAGCUCAACUUUAGGGACUAUUCAGGACCACCUAUAAAUAUUCAACAUUGAGACGAAGGUAAAAAUGAAAUCACAUCAGAUGCCUGAGCAGGUUGUGUUUUGGAAGUGGAUUACGCCAAAGAUGUUGGGGCUGGUCACACAAACAUCAGUAUAUCAUUGGUCAAUAGAAGGUAAUAUUGCAUUUUUCUUUUCGUACAAGGGUUCUUUUGAACUACAUUCAAUUUCUCGCUUUUCUUUUUUGAUAGAUCAAUUUAUAUUUCAGUUAGGAACUUCCAUUACAUUGUUGAAUUGCUGGCUUUAAAAUUUACAAAACUUAUUUGUAGGUGAUUCAGAGUGUAUAAAGAUUUGUUUCAGAUAUUUUGAUAUGUAACCAUGUGCUAAUA